Sus scrofa (pig) is the source of this 3167-nucleotide non-coding RNA. The record is from RefSeq and is a predicted model, not a curated record. Lineage: Eukaryota; Metazoa; Chordata; Mammalia; Artiodactyla; Suidae.
CCUAUACCGCAGCUCACAACAACGCCGGAUCCUUCACCCACUGAGCAGGGCCAGGGAUAGAACCUGUGUCCUCAUGGAUACUAGUUGGGUUUGUUAUUGUUAUUGCUGAGUCAUGACGAGCACUCUGAAACCCUCUUUAUGUUUGAUUAUACUGAGUGAGUUUACCUAGUUGAAGGGCAGUUCCUUUUCACUCCUGCCGUGGCAUCUGUGUAGAGAAGGGUGUUUCUCUCUGUGACAGUCCUUCCUGCCAUUUGUCUUCACGUAUGUCUUUUCCAAACAAAGGAUUCAGAGUUUUGCAGGCUCACAGAAACUUCUUCCACUACAAAUCCUCUUCUACCGAACGGCGUUUGACACCUGUUUUUCACUUCUAUUCUUCUCCUAUCCUCCCGUGUGUCAAGGUGACUUCAACUGGAAGGUCUGUACAGGUCAUUAAUUGAGCAAUAGAGAAAAAGUCCAUUGCCAUUUUGGUCCCCAAAUGUCCAGAUGACAUUUUGCAAUUGAAAAAUCUAGAAGGGCACUGGUCUGUAUUCUAAGAUGAAAGGAAAAGGAAGCCGUGUCUGCCCUGGCUGGUGUUCCUGUUUUAAAGAUGAACUGGCAUCUGCUAUUUUUACAGGAAAGGUAAGAAGUUUGUUGGGCCACCAUCCUACCUCAUGUGUGUGAUCCUGAUAACUUCAAAGUCAGUCCUCUCUUCCCUUGAUAGAGGAAUUCAUUUUGCUCCAGGAGAUUAAGUGAGAGAAAAGCUGAGAGGGGAUUCGAAUUUGGGUUUGUCUCUUUACAAAGUUUGGGUUCUUGUAUCUGUCUUCUCUCGUCUCUUCUGUCUGAGAAUAAAUACAGUUAACUGGGGAACUCCUGUCACCGAACGGUGUGCAAGGAUUCAGAGACAAACCACUGAAACCUCUCUCUUUGUCCAGGAAAACCUGAGAGGAUGGAGUUAAAACGGAUCCAAACAGCACAGGCAUUUGAGAACCCGAGAUUUCAAAGCGGGCGCCGACGCACAAGGCAAGAUGAUGUUUACGAUCCAUCACGGGUUCCUGAAACGCUUAAAGGUAAUUAAAGAUAUAAAAAGGAGAGAUGGAAACACAAAACUGUUACAAAUAUACAGCACUGGAAUUGGUUGCUUUUUCCAGACAUUGCAUGACUUGCAGACUCUUGUCUAUUAAAAAAAAAAUGAAUAAAGCAAGUCAAGAGAGAAAGGCAGCUUAGGAAGACAACGAUGCUGUAAAUGUGAAAGCCAUCAAGGGUGGGGACUGGAGGGGAGAGAAGGAAAUGUAGUCGAGGGGGCCUUCAAGAAGGUCCUCCGAAGACAGAAACACGGUCUGGAGUGCUGGGUAAAUCUCACCAUUUUAUGGGCAACAUCCUAGCACAAUAGAAUUCAACUGCAGCCUCUCUCUUGGAGAUUAAUAUCUUUGAUUUGAUUUUGCAGAGAGUGAUGAAUCUGGAAUGGAUGUUUGGCAACACCCUCGAGAAAGCAGUGUUUCUCCUGAUACACCUGCUCUGAUUAUUUGCUCACGUGGCUACACAGAUGAGCCUGCAAGGGACAGAGGAGUCCAGGGUGGCUGGAUCAGGGCAUCUAAUGCAUGGAACCUCUGAAGACUUUGUUUGACCAAAGAGUGUCUUGGCAUUGGUUGGUCUUCUGGUGUUGGUCGUUACCGUGAGGUUUUGAAAGUCACCCCUUCUGCAACAAGGCAUUUCAGGAAAGGAAACAGGAUUCUUGUAUACGGAUGAAUGGGCCUCGAAGAAUCUCAUCAUCUCCGAAGGACUCCUGCCCAUUUAAAGUUUAGAGUCCAUCUUUGGAAAAACUAACGCCCAGUGCAAGUUCCAAACGUAGCUUCCAAAGCUGGACACGUGAAGAAGCAAAGAAGAGGAUGGGAAGGAAGGGUGGAAAGCUUCUGGCUGGAGGCAGUCAGCUUCUGAGAGAGAGGAGGGGUGACAGCCCGAAGCCACGGCCAGGCCAGAUGCCCGCCACCUGGGGAUCACUUCUGAGAAACAUCUCUGGUGGAUGGAUGUGGAAAAAGGAAGAAGAAAGAGGCAGUGGGGGUCUUCUCCCAAGAGCCAUCCAUUUUAAAGCAUGGAGGAGAGGUUUUCUUCACGAUGGAACUCCGGAAAGAAUGAAGACACCACCUCCCCACCUCCAUCCUCACCAAGAAGCAAAGAAACGCACGAUAAGGGAUUCCAAUAGAACUAAAGCUUAAACUAAAGUUCCAAUAGAACUAAAGCUUAAAGGGGGAGCUUAUGGAUAUGGACCCGAUGGGUCUUUACCUGGCUAAAAUCAACCCACCUGAAGAUGGGUAUCUUCUCUGUACGUAAAACAAGGUACACGUCUCACUUAUUUUUCCCUUCCUGAUCAUCAAAAUUUGAAGAGUGAAGGUGGGGAGAAAAAGGUUUUCUCAGUAACUGUUGAGAAUGUGUUUUCUUAGAGCUGUCUUUAAAGGGCCAUUUGCCUCAAGCCUCUCAGGCUCCAUUGUGUGUUGCCUUUGAGCCAGGAAUUCCACCUGCAGCGGCUAGGGAAUGUCUGCAGUGUGCAGAGAUCCAACACCAUCUAGGGGUCAUCGCCUGACUGUCCAUGUCCUCACACACGGGCAACUGAACAGUAAUAAUGCAGAGUUCUCUUGUGGCACCGUGAGCUAAGGAUCCAGUAUGGUCACUGCAGAGACACAGGUUCGAUCCCUGGCCUGGGAAUUUCCACAUGCCGUGUAUGCAGCCUAAGAAAAGUACUAAUCAGAUAAUGAUUUCUUUGCUAUGCCAUUGAAUGGGGAGAACAUAAAGCUGCAGAAGAAAAUAUAUUCUAUAGGAAAUAAGAACCUAUUUUUGUACCAAAAAAAUGAUAUACUUUUGUAUGUCUAUUUUUACACUGACAACAUAAUUCUAUGCCAGAUAAUAAUGAAUAUUCCUAAUACAUGGAUGUAGGAUAUGACUUAACGGCUUUUUUGUUUUUUAAUAUGCAGACACUUUUUUGUCCCAGUAUGCCUAUACCUCUUUGAAAUAAAACAGCACAUUUUCACCGGUUGUGCCAAUGGGCAAGUAAGUUUUGCUGCCAGAUGUGAAAGUUCUAAAACCAUGCAGAGUCCAUGUAGUAGCUGGCAGCUGCCUGUUGAAAAUGUCUCGCUUGACAGCCUUGGGGUGUUUCCUGGUUUUUGUUGUUUUUUUUUUUUUUUUUUUUUUUUUUU